AGGAUGAACGCUGGCGGCGUGCCUAAUACAUGCAAGUCGAGCGAACAGACAAGGAGCUUGCUCCUUUGACGUUAGCGGCGGACGGGUGAGUAACACGUGGGUAACCUACCUAUAAGACUGGGAUAACUUCGGGAAACCGGAGCUAAUACCGGAUAAUAUUUCGAACCGCAUGGUUCGAUAGUGAAAGAUGGUUUUGCUAUCACUUAUAGAUGGACCCGCGCCGUAUUAGCUAGUUGGUAAGGUAACGGCUUACCAAGGCGACGAUACGUAGCCGACCUGAGAGGGUGAUCGGCCACACUGGAACUGAGACACGGUCCAGACUCCUACGGGAGGCAGCAGUAGGGAAUCUUCCGCAAUGGGCGAAAGCCUGACGGAGCAACGCCGCGUGAGUGAUGAAGGUCUUCGGAUCGUAAAACUCUGUUAUUAGGGAAGAACAUACGUGUAAGUAACUAUGCACGUCUUGACGGUACCUAAUCAGAAAGCCACGGCUAACUACGUGCCAGCAGCCGCGGUAAUACGUAGGUGGCAAGCGUUAUCCGGAAUUAUUGGGCGUAAAGCGCGCGUAGGCGGUUUUUUAAGUCUGAUGUGAAAGCCCACGGCUCAACCGUGGAGGGUCAUUGGAAACUGGAAAACUUGAGUGCAGAAGAGGAAAGUGGAAUUCCAUGUGUAGCGGUGAAAUGCGCAGAGAUAUGGAGGAACACCAGUGGCGAAGGCGACUUUCUGGUCUGUAACUGACGCUGAUGUGCGAAAGCGUGGGGAUCAAACAGGAUUAGAUACCCUGGUAGUCCACGCCGUAAACGAUGAGUGCUAAGUGUUAGGGGGUUUCCGCCCCUUAGUGCUGCAGCUAACGCAUUAAGCACUCCGCCUGGGGAGUACGACCGCAAGGUUGAAACUCAAAGGAAUUGACGGGGACCCGCACAAGCGGUGGAGCAUGUGGUUUAAUUCGAAGCAACGCGAAGAACCUUACCAAAUCUUGACAUCCUUUGACAACUCUAGAGAUAGAGCCUUCCCCUUCGGGGGACAAAGUGACAGGUGGUGCAUGGUUGUCGUCAGCUCGUGUCGUGAGAUGUUGGGUUAAGUCCCGCAACGAGCGCAACCCUUAAGCUUAGUUGCCAUCAUUAAGUUGGGCACUCUAAGUUGACUGCCGGUGACAAACCGGAGGAAGGUGGGGAUGACGUCAAAUCAUCAUGCCCCUUAUGAUUUGGGCUACACACGUGCUACAAUGGACAAUACAAAGGGCAGCGAAACCGCGAGGUCAAGCAAAUCCCAUAAAGUUGUUCUCAGUUCGGAUUGUAGUCUGCAACUCGACUACAUGAAGCUGGAAUCGCUAGUAAUCGUAGAUCAGCAUGCUACGGUGAAUACGUUCCCGGGUCUUGUACACACCGCCCGUCACACCACGAGAGUUUGUAACACCCGAAGCCGGUGGAGUAACCAUUUGGAGCUAGCCGUCGAAGGUGGGACAAAUGAUUGGGGUG
RNAcentral lists this ribosomal RNA (1475 nucleotides) under Staphylococcus haemolyticus. RNAcentral describes it as "bacterial SSU rRNA". It matches the Rfam family "Bacterial small subunit ribosomal RNA". Lineage: Bacteria; Bacillati; Bacillota; Bacilli; Caryophanales; Staphylococcaceae. The record is from RNAcentral.